AUGAAGAGUUUUGACUGUGUCACAGCUGAACAGACGUCUCAUCGUGUCGGAGCAGCUGCAGAUGAGAUUCAUGAGGACGUCUUCACAGUUUUUCAGCUCUCAGUCAUGAAGAGGUGUGGACUGAUCCUGCUGCUGCUCUCAGGUUACGUGAUGGUCUGCCAUCUUCAGUCUGAUCAGUUAGUCAGACAGCUCCACCUGGUUGACCUGCAGAAGUCCUGGAACGAUGCUCAGCAAUACUGCAGAGAUGAGUACAUCGACCUCGCCAUCGUUAACAGCUCAGCUCUCAUCCAGGAAGCCCAGAAAAGGGCGGGGAGCACAGAGGCGUGGAUUGGACUCUUCAAGAGCGACUGGAAAUGGUCUCAAACUGGUCCAGUUCAGUCAUCCUGGUUAAAUUUCUGGUUCCCGGGACAGCCAGGGACUGAUGAGUGUGUUACGAUAACUGGAUUUGGAUCAUGGUCCACAAGACCGUGCUCAGCUACUUAUCCCUUUGUCUGCUAUGACGGUGAGUGUUUCAGACUUUGGUACCAGGGUUUGACAAACUGA
This 543-nucleotide long non-coding RNA is filed under the name Oreochromis niloticus (Nile tilapia). RNAcentral's name for it is "lncRNA (ENSONIG00000029269.1)". The record is from RNAcentral. Lineage: Eukaryota; Metazoa; Chordata; Actinopteri; Cichliformes; Cichlidae.